This 79-nucleotide transfer RNA is filed under the name Chlamydia trachomatis. RNAcentral's name for it is "tRNA-Ala(tgc)". It matches the Rfam family "tRNA". Rfam says of the family: Transfer RNA (tRNA) molecules are approximately 80 nucleotides in length. Their secondary structure includes four short double-helical elements and three loops (D, anti-codon, and T loops). Further hydrogen bonds mediate the characteristic L-shaped molecular structure. tRNAs have two regions of fundamental functional importance: the anti-codon, which is responsible for specific mRNA codon recognition, and the 3' end, to which the tRNAs corresponding amino acid is attached (by aminoacyl-tRNA synthetases). tRNAs cope with the degeneracy of the genetic code in two manners: having more than one tRNA (with a specific anti-codon) for a particular amino acid; and 'wobble' base-pairing, i.e. permitting non-standard base-pairing at the 3rd anti-codon position. Lineage: Bacteria; Pseudomonadati; Chlamydiota; Chlamydiia; Chlamydiales; Chlamydiaceae. The record is from RNAcentral.
GGGGGAUGGAAUUGCUAGGAGUGAUUGCCUGUUUUGCAAACAGGAUAGCAGAUGGGUUCGAAUCCCAUAUCCUCCACCA